GAUGAACGCUGGCGGCGUGCCUAAUACAUGCAAGUCGAGCGAACAGACGAGGAGCUUGCUCCUUCGACGUUAGCGGCGGACGGGUGAGUAACACGUAGGUAACCUACCUAUAAGACUGGGAUAACUUCGGGAAACCGGAGCUAAUACCGGAUAAUAUUUCGAACCGCAUGGUUCGAUAGUGAAAGAUGGCUUUGCUAUCACUUAUAGAUGGACCUGCGCCGUAUUAGCUAGUUGGUAAGGUAACGGCUUCCCAAGGCAACGAUACGUAGCCGACCUGAGAGGGUGAUCGGCCACACUGGAACUGAGACACGGUCCAGACUCCUACGGGAGGCAGCAGUAGGGAAUCUUCCGCAAUGGGCGAAAGCCUGACGGAGCAACGCCGCGUGAGUGAUGAAGGUCUUCGGAUCGUAAAACUCUGUUAUUAGGGAAGAACAAACGUGUAAGUAACUGUGCACGUCUUGACGGUACCUAAUCAGAAAGCCACGGCUAACUACGUG
RNAcentral lists this ribosomal RNA (497 nucleotides) under uncultured bacterium. RNAcentral describes it as "partial 16S ribosomal RNA". It matches the Rfam family "Bacterial small subunit ribosomal RNA", at positions 28 to 507 of the family's 1533-position model. The record is from RNAcentral.